Molecule: long non-coding RNA, 1681 nt
Filed under: Carica papaya (papaya)
Lineage: Eukaryota; Viridiplantae; Streptophyta; Magnoliopsida; Brassicales; Caricaceae
Description: long non-coding RNA (CPAP_LNC011657)
Source: RNAcentral
GAUCUGGUUAUGGCAGGAGGACUGAUUCUGAGUACGAGUCCGGGUAUGGCGGGAGGACUGGAUCUCAAUAUGGAUCGGAAUCUGGCUAUGGAUAUGAAGGGAGGACACAAACUGAAUAUGGCUCUGGGUACCAAGGAUCCGGGUAUGGCGGGAGGACUGAAUCUCAAUAUGGAUCGGAAUCUGGCUAUGGAUAUGAAGGGAGGACCCAAACUGAAUCUGGCUCUGGGUUCCAAGGGUCUGGAUAUGGAGGCAGGAAGCCAAGUUAUGGGGAGGAAGAUAGGCCUGAGUACCCUCCUCCGGGUUAUGGAGGUAGGCCAGACUAUGGAAGGCAAAGUGAAGGAGGGGAUGAAUAUGGAAGGCCCAGUUAUGGGAGGUCUGAAGAGGGAGAAGGCUAUAGGAAGCCAUCUGGUAGGCGUGAUGAUGAUGAUGAUGAUGAUGAUGAGAACCGCAAGUACAGUUAUGGUGGUGAUGGCGAGAGCUAUGGCCGCAAGAAAUAUGUAAGCAAAUAAUUACUCGGUCUUUUCAAUUUCUGUUCGAUGCCUUUUUGAUCCUUAUGUUUGCAUUCAUAUGUCGCAGUAUUUUUACAUUACCAUGUUUGCAGAAGGAUUUCUGAUUGCCUGUUUGAUUAAGCUGUCAUCAAAACAUUAAAAUUUUUUCCUUCAUCUUAAUUGCACAAUUGCUCCACCAUUUCGUCAUUGCUCAUGAAGAUUCAAUUGUGUAUGCACACCGGCAAGUCUAUUCUAAGUUAUUGACUUUUCCAUAGGCACUUUUGUAAUGAAAAGGAGCCCGAGUAUUGAUUUUCUCAAACUGGGUUAGACUAAUAAUGCCUGCGAUUCAGAAAUUGCUGCUUGAGCCAUUAUAGUUUUUUUUCAGUGGAACGUCUUGAUAUAAACCCAGAACAGUUACUUUGGCUUACCCCUUCCUGUUUGCAUGAAUUAUUGCCUCUGGUAUGUGUAUGCUCAAUGUGCUUCUGGUACGUAGAGACGUACCAAUAGUAUGUAGAGAAUCUGUCCUUAGAUUCUAUUUGAGUGUUUUGGGUUGACGUAUUACCGUGUGAGGUUUGAACUCGUAUUUUGAUCUUUCCUUCAAUGGCCAGAACUUCACAAGCACUUUGAACCUUUUAUCACUGUGUAAAUAUAGUAGUGGCUGAAAGCUAUGUGUAUCUAGUUUGUUGAGAUGGCAUUCACUUGUUAUUAAUUGCAGUUGACUCCAUAAUUCAGAAAGAACUUUCUUUGUCGACGUGCCUUAUAUGUCGUGAGUUCUGAUCAUUUCAAGUGUUAUGAGAUGUAAAGAUGAAUGAGUACUAUCUUUGUUAUGAAAAUUGGUAUAUAAGGAACGUGUGGAGCAUUUUAUGGUAUAAAUGAUUUGAUAUUCAUGUGUUAGAUAAUGAAUUGAUUUUCAGGGAGAUGAUGACUCUGAUGAUGAUGAGAAGAAACAGCGCCACAAGCAUCACCAUCACCACCACAAACACUAUGAUGAUGAGUGAUCAAACUGAAAGGUUCUCGGUGAAUGGAAUUCAUGCCUCACUGGUAGCUACUAAAUAAAGGGUUGUGGCAUGUGUUCUUUUGGGUACUUCUGUCUCUAAGUGUUCUAAACUUAAGUUUGUGCUGGUUAUUAAUAAGCAUGUGUGUGUAUGUCAAUAAAAUCCCAAACAUUCGGGUCUUUGAUGACACUAAUGUCA